ACGAGGUUCGUAGAGGUGCUGUGCAGAAAAUCCUGGCGGGCGUGGCGGACCUCGCGGUGCGCGCGGGCGACCUUCGCCCGGGCCUUGCGCCGAUUGUUGGACCCGCGCUGUUUGCGAGCCAUGCGCCGCUGAUAGCGGGCGAGGUUGCGGGCCUUGCGGUCCAGAUGCCCGGGGUUGGCGAUGCGCUCACCGUCGCUGGUGACCGCGAAAUCCUUCACCCCGAGAUCCACACCGACCGCGUGCCCGGUUUCCGGCUGCGGUUCGGGAUCGUCGGCGUCGACCUGGAAGGUCACGUACCAGCGCCCGUCCGGAUCACGCGACACCACCACCAUCGUGGGGUUGAUCGCAGUCGGAUCGAUGUCGUUCCAGGACCACACGAACUCAAGCGGGGCGGUGCGCUUGGCCAGCGUCAGCGCUCCACCGCGCAGGCGGAACGCGCUUCGGGCGUAGUGCGCCGACUGACACCCGGGGCGGUUCUCGAACCCGGGGUACUUCGCUCGUCCGGCGAAGAAAUUGGAGGACGCGACGUGCUGGUGCCGCAGGGUUUGUCGCAGCGGCACGCUGGAGACCUCGGAGAGGAACGCCAGCUCGUCGG
RNAcentral lists this antisense RNA (595 nucleotides) under Halosaccharopolyspora lacisalsi. RNAcentral's name for it is "Saccharopolyspora lacisalsi Saccharopolyspora sRNA 389". It matches the Rfam family "Saccharopolyspora sRNA 389". The record is from Rfam by way of RNAcentral. Lineage: Bacteria; Bacillati; Actinomycetota; Actinomycetes; Pseudonocardiales; Pseudonocardiaceae.